AAAUUGAAGAGUUUGAUCAUGGCUCAGAUUGAACGCUGGCGGCAGGCCUAACACAUGCAAGUCGAACGGUAACAGGAAGCAGCUUGCUGCUUCGCUGACGAGUGGCGGACGGGUGAGUAAUGUCUGGGAAACUGCCUGAUGGAGGGGGAUAACUACUGGAAACGGUGGCUAAUACCGCAUAACGUCGCAAGACCAAAGAGGGGGACCUUCGGGCCUCUUGCCAUCAGAUGUGCCCAGAUGGGAUUAGCUAGUUGGUGAGGUAACGGCUCACCAAGGCGACGAUCCCUAGCUGGUCUGAGAGGAUGACCAGCCACACUGGAACUGAGACACGGUCCAGACUCCUACGGGAGGCAGCAGUGGGGAAUAUUGCACAAUGGGCGCAAGCCUGAUGCAGCCAUGCCGCGUGUAUGAAGAAGGCCUUCGGGUUGUAAAGUACUUUCAGCGGGGAGGAAGGUGUUGUGGUUAAUAACCGCAGCAAUUGACGUUACCCGCAGAAGAAGCACCGGCUAACUCCGUGCCAGCAGCCGCGGUAAUACGGAGGGUGCAAGCGUUAAUCGGAAUUACUGGGCGUAAAGCGCACGCAGGCGGUCUGUCAAGUCGGAUGUGAAAUCCCCGGGCUCAACCUGGGAACUGCAUUCGAAACUGGCAGGCUUGAGUCUUGUAGAGGGGGGUAGAAUUCCAGGUGUAGCGGUGAAAUGCGUAGAGAUCUGGAGGAAUACCGGUGGCGAAGGCGGCCCCCUGGACAAAGACUGACGCUCAGGUGCGAAAGCGUGGGGAGCAAACAGGAUUAGAUACCCUGGUAGUCCACGCCGUAAACGAUGUCUACUUGGAGGUUGUGCCCUUGAGGCGUGGCUUCCGGAGCUAACGCGUUAAGUAGACCGCCUGGGGAGUACGGCCGCAAGGUUAAAACUCAAAUGAAUUGACGGGGGCCCGCACAAGCGGUGGAGCAUGUGGUUUAAUUCGAUGCAACGCGAAGAACCUUACCUGGUCUUGACAUCCACAGAACUUUCCAGAGAUGGACUGGUGCCUUCGGGAACUGUGAGACAGGUGCUGCAUGGCUGUCGUCAGCUCGUGUUGUGAAAUGUUGGGUUAAGUCCCGCAACGAGCGCAACCCUUAUCCUUUGUUGCCAGCGGUUAGGCCGGGAACUCAAAGGAGACUGCCAGUGAUAAACUGGAGGAAGGUGGGGAUGACGUCAAGUCAUCAUGGCCCUUACGACCAGGGCUACACACGUGCUACAAUGGCGCAUACAAAGAGAAGCGACCUCGCGAGAGCAAGCGGACCUCAUAAAGUGCGUCGUAGUCCGGAUUGGAGUCUGCAACUCGACUCCAUGAAGUCGGAAUCGCUAGUAAUCGUGGAUCAGAAUGCCACGGUGAAUACGUUCCCGGGCCUUGUACACACCGCCCGUCACACCAUGGGAGUGGGUUGCAAAAGAAGUAGGUAGCUUAACCUUCGGGAGGGCGCUUACCACUUUGUGAUUCAUGACUGGGGUGAAGUCGUAACAAGGUAACCGUAGGGGAACCUGCGGUUGGAUCACCUCCUUACCUUAAAGAA
RNAcentral lists this ribosomal RNA (1552 nucleotides) under Salmonella enterica subsp. enterica serovar Thompson. RNAcentral's name for it is "bacterial SSU rRNA". It matches the Rfam family "Bacterial small subunit ribosomal RNA". RNAcentral also lists the same sequence under 1 other name. The record is from RNAcentral. Lineage: Bacteria; Pseudomonadati; Pseudomonadota; Gammaproteobacteria; Enterobacterales; Enterobacteriaceae.